UCCGUAGGUGGACCUGCGGAGGGAUCAUUA
Molecule: ribosomal RNA, 30 nt
Filed under: Xylaria palmicola
Lineage: Eukaryota; Fungi; Ascomycota; Sordariomycetes; Xylariales; Xylariaceae
Also listed under: 2 other names
Description: partial 18S ribosomal RNA
Source: RNAcentral